This is a non-coding RNA of Struthio camelus australis, 684 nucleotides long. The record is from RefSeq and is a predicted model, not a curated record. Lineage: Eukaryota; Metazoa; Chordata; Aves; Struthioniformes; Struthionidae.
UGUCACGCUCAGCCGGUGCUCCCGCGUCAGGUGCUCCGAGGGUGCACGGCUGCCCCGCGAGAACCACUCCCUGCCGCCCAACCUGCGCCUCAGCGACCUGGUGCAGGGGCCUGGAGCCAACCCCAGAGAUGUGGGAGCUGGUGCCCCAGCAGAGGAGAGUGCCCAGACAGAGCUAGAGAACUCCCUGGUGCUCAGCAACCGUGGUGAGGGGCGCUUUGGUGGGCGAGCAGCCUUGGAAGCUGUGCUGCAGAUGCGCUGACCCACAGCUGCUCCAGAAGGCUACGGCUAUCCUUGUCUUUGCCCUGCAGGUUUCAUCUGGUUCCCAAUGGGUGGCUACAUUUACAAAGUGUCCAGCACCAGCAGCGAUGAGAUCUGGCUGUGAGAUGUUGGCAUGACACUUGUGAGCCUGGGUUAACCCUCUCCAGGGAAGUCUAUCAGCUCGCAGCACUGCAGCCCCUUCCCAAGCCACUGUUCCCAUCAGACCCUUCCAUGAUCCCAGCCCGCAACCAGACUCCCUCCAUGAUGUGGGCCAGCACUCCAGGUGGGACACGAGCAAUACUGCAAGCCUCUGAAACCUCCGCGUCUUCCUCACUCACCACUCUGGUGGUACCUGUCUUUCUUGGCUCUGGCCUGCCAGGAGCCCAGCUGUUCUCGCUCAGGACCAACAGUGCAGACUAGCUCUGG